This 111-nucleotide transfer RNA is filed under the name Caudoviricetes sp. RNAcentral describes it as "tRNA-OTHER". It matches the Rfam family "tRNA". From Rfam's summary of the family: Transfer RNA (tRNA) molecules are approximately 80 nucleotides in length. Their secondary structure includes four short double-helical elements and three loops (D, anti-codon, and T loops). The record is from RNAcentral. Lineage: Duplodnaviria; Heunggongvirae; Uroviricota; Caudoviricetes.
GGUAUCGUGGCGGAACUGGUAGACGCGUCUCAAAAUGAGAUGGCAUAAGGUUGAGAGUGGCCAUGUUAAAGCCUUUGUAAGUCCUUGCAGGUUCGAAUCCUGCCGGUAUCA